CGCCGAGGUGCGGGCCCUUGCCCGCACCAAGGUGAAACCCGAGCGAGGGCUCAAAAAGCCCGAGCUUUUACCUAUGAAGAUAUGAGACCAGCAGGGGCUUCCGGGCUGGUACCCGGAAAAUCUGUGGGAUCCUUGGUGGCUUGGUUCGGUCGCUGCAUUGGGACUUUUCCAGGCUUGCUAUGGCUCUCGCCGAUCCGUCCCCUAACCGAGGGUGACCA
This 218-nucleotide non-coding RNA is filed under the name Pseudomonas alkylphenolica. RNAcentral's name for it is "sucA-II". It matches the Rfam family "sucA-II RNA". The record is from RNAcentral. Lineage: Bacteria; Pseudomonadati; Pseudomonadota; Gammaproteobacteria; Pseudomonadales; Pseudomonadaceae.